UACGUAGGAAGCAAGCGUUGUUCGGAAUUAUUGGGCGUAAAGGGCAUGUAGGCGGUUUAAUAAGUGUGGAUUUAAAGACCGGAGCUUAACUCCGAGUAUGGUCUGCAAACUAUUAAACUAGAGUAUAGGAGGGGAGAGUGGAAUUCCGCGUGUAGGGGUGAAAUCUGUAGAUAUGCGGAAGAAUACCGGUGGCGAAGGCGACUCUCUGGCCUAUAACUGACGCUAAAAUGCGAAAGUGUGGGGAUCAAACAGGAUUAGAUACCCCCGUAGU
This 271-nucleotide ribosomal RNA is filed under the name uncultured bacterium. RNAcentral's name for it is "partial 16S ribosomal RNA". It matches the Rfam family "Bacterial small subunit ribosomal RNA", at positions 524 to 794 of the family's 1533-position model. The record is from RNAcentral.